UUCAAGGUAGAAUUCUUUAUAAAUUCACUAUUAUUUUAUAAUUUAAUGUUAAUUUUUAUAUUAAUAUGAGAUGGUAAAAAAUUUAUGAAAAGAAAUAUUCGAACACGAGAUGUCAAAUGUAUGGGUGUGAAUACUUUUUUGCAAGUGAGAUUAAGUGAACUGCGACUUUUUGGGUGUGGCCCCCACAUAUAGACGUUGUGCGGUGAGAUUAAGUGAAUCGAAAUCCAAGAGAUGCUGCUGCAUAUGCUGAUUAAGGUUGCAGUCACAGACUUACUUUCCCCAAAUCCAGGUGGCUACCCUUCAAUCUUCAACACUUCCAACUAUAUCGUUUGGAGCACGUGAGUCGGCUUUGGUAUUCGUUAACAAUUCAACAUGUCUAGUUGUAUGGUGGAAUAGUAUCAAAGAAAAGUUCUGAAAUUGUCAGCCAAUUGAAAAACAUUGAGUUUUUACUUUAUUGUUUUUUUCUAGGUUAUCAAUGGAAAUGCUUACCUGAACUUGAAGAAUUAAUAAAUAAAUAAAUAAGUUGAAAUAGUCUGUUGUAAGUUAAAAGCAACACAAUUUGAUUUUUAUACUUAAACAUGAUUCGGAUUACAUCUCAUUAUGUUUAUAACCUUGAAAUGACAAUAAUUACUUUAGGAUGAACCCAUACAAUUGUAUCUCUUGCUCCACUAUUGGUCAUUAACAUGUGUGUACAUGAAAAAAAAGAUGAUGUUACACUAUAAAAUCAAUUGGUAAUAUUGGCAGUGACGAAGUCAUAUCGAAGCUAGGAGGGGCUUCUAAGCAGUGUGAAAGAAAUUGGACAUGAUAUAAUAUAAUUAAUGGAGAAAAAGAUUGAUUUUUUAUAUUGGAAUGAAAAAUAAGAGACUAAUGAAGUCACAAAAAAAAUAAAAAAUUGAGAUAGUUAUAUCAUAAGCAUCGAACUUCUUUUUAAGCUCCUACAUUGAAGUUGAACAAAAUUUAAUAUCGUGGCUCAAUACUGCAACUAUGAAAAUUGUCUUUUAGAAUAAAUUCUUCCUCUAUUCCACAUAUGCGUAGUUUCACUGUAAAACAACACUCUAUCAUACAAAAUAGUGAACUAACUUAGGAAGACUAGUUGAUAUAAGGCUUUGGUUUCAUAACAAUACUACUAUAAAACACACAAUAAAGCCAACUAGAAGCAAAAGCACAUAAGUAGAAGAAAGUAGAGUAUCCAACCAAAAACACUCAAAUAGAAGCUACAAAAUGAAAAACUUUAGGGGUAGGCUGGGACCUCACCUGAUCCUCAAGAGCCACUGAUUAUGAUACUCUCAAUAAAUGACAAACUUGACCCUACUUAAUAUUAUAAUGUGUAGAUUGUUAAUUAACAUCACGGAACCAUAUUCCAGUAUCAUAUAAUAAUGAGUAAGGCUAGAGAAACUAAAUUAGUUGACAAAAGUUUAGAAAGUAAAAGACAUGGAAGUUGAUAAUUUGUUUAUUACUUAAACGUUUAUAAACGUGUUCUUUCUUAUUGAUGACACAUUAUUUAGUUUAUAAAUUAUGAUUACAAAUUUAAUCUCUCUAAUAUUACCCUAUAAUAAUUAGUAACUCACAAGUUUCACUUUCACCACCAAAAUCCAAAAAAUGGGAAAGAAAAAUGAAAAACCCUAAAGUAAAAUGAUGAUAUUUUUGUAAGGUUGGUUCCAAACUUCGGAUUUGGAUCCUCUCAUGAGCAGGAGAUCAGGAUC
RNAcentral lists this long non-coding RNA (1703 nucleotides) under Malus domestica (apple). RNAcentral describes it as "long non-coding RNA (MDOM_LNC015030)". Lineage: Eukaryota; Viridiplantae; Streptophyta; Magnoliopsida; Rosales; Rosaceae. The record is from RNAcentral.